AGUGAAAGGAACCGACAAUUCUAUUCAUGAAGGGACCGAUGACAUUUCAUUCGUUCCUACCUCAUUAUAAUUUAUAAUCUCUUUAUCAUUUUCUGGUCAUGCAAUGCUGGAAGAUUCUAGACUAUCUCGAACGAGUGUUUUUGCAAUAGACAAACAUGAAAAUAUAAAAUAGAAACAAUGAAAUAUGCUAUAUAUAUAUAUCUAAAUAUUAUAAUAUUAUGUAUAUCUUCCACACAGUAUAUGCUUUACACCUUUUUUUUCCAUCUAUUGAUAUUAUUAAGGAAACU
Molecule: long non-coding RNA, 287 nt
Filed under: Brassica napus (rape)
Lineage: Eukaryota; Viridiplantae; Streptophyta; Magnoliopsida; Brassicales; Brassicaceae
Description: long non-coding RNA (BNAP_LNC012556)
Source: RNAcentral